GGCGGAUUCUUGUUACACUAGAACGAAACUUCCUGGAAGCUGCCAUGGCGGAUCUCUCGUUCUCAUCCCUUCCAUUUAAGUCGGCAAUUCUCCUUCUCUUUCACCUCCAGUUUCUCUUCCCCUUCUCCAUUUUCAAUUUCUUCUUUCUCUUCUCUACCUUCUCUACUUUCCGCCAUGAAAAUUCCCAAAAGAUUUAGCCCCAAACGCCUCUUCCGAUCCAAGAAGAAUCACUCCGCCGACGUCUCCCGCUCCGAUCCGCCGUCUUUCGGCUCCGGUACGUCCUCUUCCUCUUCCUCUUCCGAGAAUUUCUUCAAGCCUAACUCCACCGCUACCGGUUACGGAACUCCGACUAGUGUUCUCCCUCCGGACUGGUCCGACUCAGACCAGAGGGAAAACGACGGCGUUGUGUCGAGGAAAGAGUUAGAGGCGAUUCUUAGCCGGAU
Molecule: unclassified non-coding RNA, 443 nt
Filed under: Hevea brasiliensis (rubber tree)
Lineage: Eukaryota; Viridiplantae; Streptophyta; Magnoliopsida; Malpighiales; Euphorbiaceae
Source: RNAcentral